This 468-nucleotide ribosomal RNA is filed under the name uncultured bacterium. Its description in RNAcentral is "partial 16S ribosomal RNA". It matches the Rfam family "Bacterial small subunit ribosomal RNA", at positions 28 to 507 of the family's 1533-position model. The record is from RNAcentral.
GACGAACGCUGGCGGCGUGCUUAACACAUGCAAGUCGAACGGAAAGGCCCUGCUUUUGUGGGGUGCUCGAGUGGCGAACGGGUGAGUAACACGUGAGUAACCUGCCCUUGACUUUGGGAUAACUUCAGGAAACUGGGGCUAAUACCGGAUAGGAGCUCCUGCUGCAUGGUGGGGGUUGGAAAGUUUCGGCGGUUGGGGAUGGACUCGCGGCUUAUCAGCUUGUUGGUGGGGUAGUGGCUUACCAAGGCUUUGACGGGUAGCCGGCCUGAGAGGGUGACCGGGCACCAUGGGACGUAGGUACGGCCCCGACUUCUACGGGAGGCAGAAGGGGGGAAUAUUUCCAAAAGGGGCGAAGGCGGAGUCAACAACCGCCGGUUCGGGAAAACCGCCUUCGGGUUGUAAACCGCUUUCGCCUGUGACGAAGCGUGAGUGACGGUAAUGGGUAAAGAAGCACCGGCUAACUACGUG